Molecule: long non-coding RNA, 3813 nt
Filed under: Triticum aestivum (bread wheat)
Lineage: Eukaryota; Viridiplantae; Streptophyta; Magnoliopsida; Poales; Poaceae
Description: long non-coding RNA (TAES_LNC014541)
Source: RNAcentral
UCGGCCUGCGCCGGCGAGGUCGGGCGCGACCUGGCGGUUGGUGGCGGCUCGAUCCGAUCCUGGAUCGGGAGAGGAGGAAGGGAGGUGGGGGGCCGGCCGUCUCUGUGCCUCCUCGACGCCGAGCUGCGGCUGCUCCGUGUGUGUGCUCUCUCUCUCUCUCUCUCUCUCUCUCUCUCUCUCUCAACCACCGUGCUGUGACGUUGCUUCCCAAAUUGACCGUUGCCUCGUCUCCUCCGACCUCAAUACCGUCCUGGGCGGCGCCGGUACCGAGGCGCCACCUCUGCCUCCAACCCCACUGGGCAAGGAGCUCGAGGUGUUUGGGGGAUUCUUGUCCCUGAUGUUAAUUAGGGUGACUAUGCCCGUGAGUUCGCCCGUGCCCAUGCGCUUGCUGUAGCCAUGUGGUUUCUGAGAGUAUUGUGCUUGCUUCAAAUAGAUUAUGGUGGUUGGAUUUGGUUCUCUUGGUGGUAUCUUCCCUACCAUCUCAUUUUUUUCGUGGCCAGCAGGAGUAGGAGGAAGGGAGGAGGAAGGGAGGAUGAGGAAGUAGACCAGCAGGAGGAAGAGAGGAUCUCGGGACGCGCUCCUUAUUGGACUUACUGUAGUAUAAACAGGUACAUGUUGUGCAGCUCAUGCUUUUUUCUCUUGCCAUCAGUGAGCUUUUCUCCUUUGAUGUUACUGGUUUUGGUAUGUUGUCCCCGUCGAUGUGUGUUACCUUAGUUGAUACUGCUUGGUAGCUUUCUUCUUGUUCAGGAAAUGGUCACGGUUAGUUAGAUUUCUUUGUUAGUUCCUGUCAAUAAUAUUCUCAUCUCUAGCUACAUUCCAACGGAGGGAUUUUUUUGUUCUCUUUCUUGCUUUGUUGGGUACCUUUACUGGCGAGCAAAGCUUUGGAUGUAGCUAAAUUCAUCCAAAGUAGAUUUUUGUUGUCUUCCAUGCAAUUGCGGAGCUACCACCAAAAAGGUGGGCAGGCCAGAGACUACAAACUGUGCUAUCAAACUGAAAAUCACUGCAUUGUUGUGGGCAGGGCUUCAUAUAAACUUCUUUUUGCUUCAGUCUUGGGUGGGCCAUGACACAUCCGGCCUGGCCGUAGCUCUGCCGGUGCUUCCUUGGUUUCCCGCAUGCCUCAUUUUUUCUCUGUCAAGGAAGGAUUUUUCUGUUCUAUGUUCUUUGGUUGGUGUUUCUUUUUCCUUGUACUGGAGUGUAAGAGAUGAAUGGCAUGUCUGUGAUAUGAUGAUUAGUAUGGUACUUACUAAUUGGUUAUUUUGGAUAAACUAAGUGGGUCUGGUCCAGGAUUAAGGACAAAAUAGUUUCAGAUAUCUUAGGUUCAGUGUUAUUGCUGGCUCUGGAUUCAGACUCAGGUUCAUGUUGAUGUGUGUUGUAACAAAUUAGGUGCCAACCUGGAACAUGAGAAAAUUUACAUCUCUAGAAAAGGACCAGUUAGAUGUGUGCCUUAAUCCUGUUUGGUUCAUAUGCAUUGCUUCUGCUUUUUAUUUGUACUAUCAAAACAUUUGCCGUUUAUGGAUUCCUUAUUAGUACUACGAGCCUGACAGGCUGUUUAUUUUCUGUUUGGCUCAAAUCCUCCGAAUUCAUGAAUUGCUUAUUAGUUCUACGUGUCUGGCCGGCUGUACACUGCAUGGCCCCAUAAUCAUAUUUACUAGCAAAUAAGAUUUGAGGUGUACAAUGUAAUCGAAUAUGAAAUGAGCCCUUCUUUUCAUGCUUGGCUGAUGUGUUGGUUAGUACUUAUUUCAUGUUCUGUUUUCUAGGUUUUGUAGAUGGUGGCCUUACAGGUUGUGCACCAUAUGUUCUUAGAACCAGAUUUGCUAGCCUGUGGAAUUUGGAUUAUUUCACUGUAUAUAUAUGCUGAUGUCAAGUGGCCUAUCAAUAUUUGCUUGCUUGUUAUUAGUCCUUGUUCCCUGCUUUGCUUCUUAGGUUUUGCAGAUAGCCUGACAGGAUGUACACAGCAUGCUCUUAGAACUAGAUUGGAAUACGAAGUGUUUUGGUGUGACCUGAUAUAUAGUUGAUCCUUUUUCUAUCCUUGGUUGAUGUGUUGAUACUUAUUUCCCUUUCAUGUUCUGCAGGUACUAAACCAGCAAUUGUUGUUAGCUGUGUAUUUGGAGGUUGCGCAUGUAAUCUGUGUAUGGGUAGUGAUGUUUUAGUUUACAUGGCCAGUGCCGUGUCGUUUUUUGGCUGAUGGCUUUAGGUUCUAGAUGCUUAAUUAACUUGGUAUUUCUAUUGUUUGAUCAUGUGUUGAUUUUUUUACAGGCCUUGCCUUUAGCUUUGUGGAAUAUUUAGAUCGCGGCGAUAGGUUCGAGCGACGCCAACCGCGGCCAACGACCUUGAUGCGGAUGGCAGCGACUGAACCGGUGGACAUGGUCGACGUAUAGGGGAAUCCACAUUUCUCUUUGCUUCCAUGUCCACAGGAGAAAAUUGCUGAACAUUUUGGCAUCCCAAGAUUUCCUCCCCACGGUAUGCAGGUGUGUGCGGCAUAUGUUUGCGUAAAUGUCCGAAUUGGAAAGACUUCUUUCUGUGUGCAUCUUCUUUUGUUCGAUCUGUGUGAUCUCUUGUCUUCUUUUACCUUGCUUCAACUUAAUGUCCUGAACAUGCUCAUAGUCUUUCAAAAAAAAAACUGGCUGUAGUAACAUCUAUUUACAUAAAAACCGGAUCACUUGCAAGUCCUAAUAGUAAUAUUGAUCACUAUUUUAAAGGCUAGCGACAGAUUCAACUUGAGCAUCUUUCCUGACCUAUAUAUGAUAAGGAGGUACUCCCUCCGUAAAGAAACAUAAGAGCGUUUAGAUCACUAAACUAUCAGCUACCUUAGUGAUCUAAACGCUCUUAUUUUUCUUACGAUGGGAGAAGAAGAAUAAGAUGGCAAUGAGUCCGAUAAAGUUUUUGUCAAACAGUCUGAUGCUUUUAUUCACGUAUGUGUGCUGUAAAAUUUGCGGAACCAGUACAAGUUAUUGCACAAUCACUGUGCCAGUUUUUUAUGGCUUGUUUAUUUCAUUCUGUUUCGGUAGUUGCUUUCCCUGGCGUCAAAUCUUUUGUUAGAGAGAAUGGUUCACAAAACUGUUCUUCUUGAACCGUUAUGCUUGCCUAUCUGUUGUGUGUGUGUGUGUGUGUGUAUAAUAUAUAGAUAGAUUCAAAUUUAGAUGGUUGUAUUUGUAAUAACUGGCUCGGCUUGUACCAUCUUUUGGGUUGGCACAGCAAAACUCACAUUAUGAUAUGACUUGUGUUAAGUAUACUAACUCCUAACCAAUUCCUUUCCUUUGAAGUGGCUCAAGGAAGCUGAAGAGGAAGGCUAAGAUGAUGAAGAAGAGUAGAGCCGGAGUGGAAUGCAUCGUUCUGCAAUUUGGGUGGUGGAAAUUGUUCUUACCUUGCGUCCUAUCCCUAGCCUUGAACAACAUCUCUCUAAAUCCAUCCCUGAUCUGCAACACCUUUUUUUGGGAGGUUGCAGGUGUGUACGGCAUAUGUUUGCGUAAAUGCCCGUAUUGGAAAGACUUCUUUUUGUGUGCAUCUUCUUUUGUUCGAAAAGGGCUAGCUUUCACCGUGAAUCAUUAGGACAGUGUGGCAUAUGAGGUGGUAUAGAUGGAUUAGUUACAAAUAUAUUAGGUACUUGAACUACUUAUCAUGAUCCUGAUUUCGAGCGUUUGAGCCGAGAUCGAUGACCGUGAAUCAUAAGAUGACCGUGAAUCAUAAGGACUGUUAGAGAAGAGAAGAAGAUUCUUGGUUGUUACUGUUGUGAAAGCAUGGAUUGUGUUGUCAUCUGUUCCUUUCUCGUCUACAUAAGUUCAUGAAUCAUAAAGCAGGGCCUAUGCAGCUGUA